AUUCUCAGUUGCUUUUCCCGUCUAUUUCGAACAUGCUGGGGCCUCAGGUGGGUGAGCCACAGUUGGCCAGCUGUCCUAAAUAAGCUGCAGAAUUCGUUAUUUGUCUGCAGACGAUGCUGCGGACCACAGCAAUAGCCUCUUUUAGAAGAACCUGUGCUACAAAGCCUGAAACUCACAAGCGAUAGCGAAUCACCUCGCUGAAGAUGAGGACGUCACUGAUAAAUGCAAGUUUGUGCCGACAUACAUUCCCUACGUACACACAAAGCAGCUGAGCAAGACCCCGGAUGACUGCCACCUAAAGAUAAAUCACGGCAAAGGAGACCACAGUACUGCAGGGUCCCUCUUCUGUCACCACCUCUGCGAACUAGAGAUUGCUUUUUCUAAUGGCAUUACCACGGCAAAAGGAGGGAGGAACACAUUUGUAAUUUUUUUCUUUUCUUCUUGGCACUUCUCACCAUCACUCUGUACACCUGACAUUUGACACAAUGAAUACAUUUUCAAAUCAUUCCUCCCCUCAAAUAUGUGAUGAUUAUAUAGUCUAUCAGUCAGUGUAGUAUAGAUCCAGAAGAAAAGCAGUUGAGGGUUAAUGGAUUUGCUUUAGGCAUUUAUCUCAAUUAGACUGAAAACAGGCUUCAACAGGCA
This is a long non-coding RNA of Fukomys damarensis (Damara mole-rat), 642 nucleotides long. Lineage: Eukaryota; Metazoa; Chordata; Mammalia; Rodentia; Bathyergidae. The record is from Ensembl.